UACGUAGGCAGCGAGCGUUGUUCGGAUUUACUGGGCGUAAAGGGCGCGUAGGCGGAUUUUUAAGUCAGGGGUGAAAUCCCAAGGCUCAACCUUGGAACUGCCUUUGAUACUGGGAAUCUUGAGUCCGGGAGAGGUGAGUGGAACUGCGAGUGUAGAGGUGAAAUUCGUAGAUAUUCGCAAGAACACCAGUGGUGAAGGCGGCUCACUGGCCCGGAACUGACGCUGAGGCGCGAAAGCGUGGGGAGCAAGCAGG
This 253-nucleotide ribosomal RNA is filed under the name uncultured bacterium. RNAcentral describes it as "partial 16S ribosomal RNA". It matches the Rfam family "Bacterial small subunit ribosomal RNA", at positions 524 to 776 of the family's 1533-position model. The record is from RNAcentral.